CCUACGGGAGGCAGCAGUGGGGAAUAUUGCUCAAUGGGCGCAAGCCUGACGCAGCGAAGUCGCGUGAGGGAUGACGGUCCUCGGAUUUGUAACCUUCUUUUGUAGGGAAGAACGGUCACUCUGCUAUUCAGCAGUGAAUUGACGGUACCUGCAAAGGAAGCACCGGCUAACUCCGUGCCAGCAGCCGCGGUAAUACGGAGGGUGCGUGCGUUAAUCGGAUUUAGUGGGCGUAAAGCGCUCGUAGACGGUAUGUGAAGUCAAGGGGUAAAUGUCCGCGCUCAACGUGUGAACUGCCUUUGAAACUGGCAAACUGGAGUGUGUGAGAGGUAAGCGGAAUUCGAGGUGUAGGGGUGAAAUGCAUAGAUAUCUCGAAGAACAUCAAUGGCGAAGGCGGCUAACUGGCACUUAACUGACGCUGAGGAGCGAAAGCGUGGGUAGCAAACAGGAUUAGAUACCCUUGUAGUC
This 465-nucleotide ribosomal RNA is filed under the name uncultured bacterium. Its description in RNAcentral is "partial 16S ribosomal RNA". It matches the Rfam family "Bacterial small subunit ribosomal RNA", at positions 338 to 795 of the family's 1533-position model. The record is from RNAcentral.